GGAUUAGAUACCCUGGUAGUCCACGCCCUAAACGAUGAUCACUAGAUGCUGGAAGAUUCGACCCUUUCAGUGUCGUAGCUAACGCGUUAAGUGAUCCGCCUGGGGAGUACGGCCGCAAGGUUGAAACUCAAAGGAAUUGACGGGGGCCCGCACAAGCGGUGGAGCAUGUGGUUUAAUUCGAUGCAACGCGAAGAACCUUACCAGCCCUUGACAUCCAGUGAACUUUCUAGAGAUAGAUUGGUGCCUUCGGGAACACUGUGACAGGUGCUGCAUGGCUGUCGUCAGCUCGUGUUG
This 294-nucleotide ribosomal RNA is filed under the name uncultured bacterium. RNAcentral describes it as "partial 16S ribosomal RNA". It matches the Rfam family "Bacterial small subunit ribosomal RNA", at positions 775 to 1067 of the family's 1533-position model. The record is from RNAcentral.